This is a long non-coding RNA of Ipomoea triloba (trilobed morning glory), 849 nucleotides long. RefSeq lists it as uncharacterized. The transcript has 2 exons. The record is from RefSeq and is a predicted model, not a curated record. NCBI's taxonomy places the organism in Eukaryota, Viridiplantae, Streptophyta, Magnoliopsida, Solanales, Convolvulaceae.
AUGAGUUUAUUUGACAAAUUUCGAGUUUCAACUUAGUGGUAAUUGGUAAAUAAUAGUAAGUCUUAUACAGGAGCUUGAAAUUUGUCAAAUAAGCUCAUUUGAACACUUGAAAUGUCAGUCACAUAUAAGACAAAGAAAAGAGAUGAAAUCAAGUUUUUAUGUUUACUCGUCCAAAUUUUUGUCCAAAUCUAAUUGGAUAUUAAUGAAAAAGACCAAAACUGUUAGCCAAGGACAAAAAAUAAACACCACAAUAACUGAGGGACUUAAUCUAUAUCAAGGGUAUAACUUACAGACCAAAUAUGCCAUUUUUGCAAAUAAAUUAUCACAAUAUUGAAGACUAGAUGAACCUGAAAUGAAAUGGCUAGCCUCAGAGAAGUCACGGUGGAAGCAUGUGUCACAGUAUACAGUGCCAACAAGUACUGCUGCAGUUUGAAGCACACAAUAGCCUAAGAUGGAUCGCCCUUCCUCUUAUAAGGUGAGCUACUAUGUGUAUUUAUUUCAGUCAUGCAGAGACCAGUGAAUUUACAGACCAGCAGACAUUAAUUUCAUCACUACUAACAUAACAAAAAGAAGGUUGGGGGAGACAGAAAGGUAAUAAAGUAGGAAUGUGUUGUGGGUUGUGACUUCUCUGGAUGUUUCUUUUCUUUAUUCUUUUUUAGCAUAUGACAUCUGAUUUUCUCGCCAUUAUGAGGCUAAUUCAGAUUUGGUUAAGGUUAUGUUUGCCAAGUUUGUCUCACAUUAAAAAUGAACAUGUAGUACAUUAAAAAUGAAUGUACAUGUCAGUUGUUCAUCUUGCAAUGUGUAUUAUAGUCUACAGUAUGAUGAUUAAGAACUCUUUAACAUGUCCAA